Trachemys scripta elegans is the source of this 1612-nucleotide RNA transcript. It is a transcript of the gene named dynein axonemal assembly factor 4, with no coding region annotated. The transcript is spliced from 10 exons. The record is from RefSeq and is a predicted model, not a curated record. NCBI's taxonomy places the organism in Eukaryota, Metazoa, Chordata, Testudines, Emydidae.
UGGCUCCAGACCCGGAAGUGCUAGUGGGAGGGCAGCGGAAAGUCUGAGCCCUCCCCUAGCAACCGCUGCAGAGCGCCCUUAGCAGCGGCGGCCAUGCCGGUCUGGGUGCGGGAUUACAGCUGGCGGCAGACGGACACUGCUGUUUUUCUCUCCCUGCCGAUGCGGGGUGCCCGGGUCACCCAGGCAAACAUCUUCUGCACUGACCAGUAUCUGAAGGUAAAUGUUCCUCCAUUUUUAUUUGAAGCCAUUCUGUAUGCUCCUGUUGAUGACACUAGUAGUACAGCAAAGAUCAGAAAUGAGACCAUUUUCUUCACUUUAUAUAAAAAAGAAGUGGCCAUGUGGGAAUCCCUGGUUAUGGAAAAUGGUGACAAAGAGAAAAUGCAGAGAAUAAGAGAGAAUGCUGUCAUAAAAGCCCAAGAGAAGGCAGAUGAAGAGGAAAAAUCAAAAGCUGUUACAAAACGAGAACAUAAAAAAUUUGCUCUGGAGGCCACAAUGAAGCUAGAAGAAGCAGAGAGAAAAAGAAUUGAAAAUCUGAAAGAAGAGGAGCGAAAGAAGGUCACUGAGGAGCUGGAGAUAUGGAAAGAAAAGCAGAGAAAUGAGGAGAAACAAAGAAGGAUACAAAGAGAAGAGGAAAUACGUAGAGAAAGGAAACUAAUAGAGGAGAAGAAAAAGCAAGAAAUAAAUAAAACUCUAAAGGCAGGAACUUCCAAGGCCAGAAGUAUACCUACAAAAGCUGGAAGUUCUGGAAAUAUAUUUUCAGAGAAGUUAAAAGAAGAAUCUUUCCCUGCUCCUCGAUCUGCUGGUACUAUUAAAAUUAGUUUCACAUCUCGGGUGUUUCCUACAGCUCUCAGAGAAUCCAGAGUAGCAGAAGAGGAAGAGUGGCUGCAUAAGCAAGCAGAGGCUCGUAGAGCAAUGAAUGCUAAUUUUUCUGAGCUGAAGGAUUUAAAUGAGGAGGAGAAGAACCCAGACUGGUUGAAAGACAAAGGAAACAAAAUGUUUGCAACAGGAAACUAUCUUGCAGCUGUAAAUGCCUAUAACCUGGCAAUUCUGUUAAAUAAUAAGAUUCCAGUACUAUAUCUGAAUCGUGCUGCUUGUCACCUUAAAUUGAGAAACUUGCACAAGACCAUUGAAGAUUCAUCUAAGGCACUAGAAUUGCUGAUACCACCUGUUCCAGACAAUGCUGAUGCUAGAGUGAAAGCUUACGUGAGGCGUGGGACAGCAUUUUGUCAGCUGGAAUUGUAUGCUGAAGGUCUCCAGGAUUAUGAAGCUGCUCUCAAGAUCGAUCCUACAAAUAAAACUUUAGAACAAGAUGCUGAGAAGAUUCAACAUAUAAUUCAUGGAACUGCACAAGAUUCUUAACAAAGUCUAGAAUCAGCAUGGUGGUGUAUUUAACAGACAGGAAUCAGGAAAACACUUAUUUCAAAUUCUGCCUAAACCAGUGAAGCCACCAGACAUUUUGUUGCUGCACUCAUCCCAGUUAUAAAAUUGGGUAAAAGAGAAGUUACUUCUCAUAAGAACUACUAUAAUUUAGGGCUGUACAUGGGGAAAACUACAUUGAUGUUAAGGAUAGAUGGCAUCCCCUCUUCAGCAACUCAGAGGCAGUGUGCAUAGC